This 209-nucleotide ribosomal RNA is filed under the name uncultured bacterium. RNAcentral describes it as "partial 16S ribosomal RNA". It matches the Rfam family "Bacterial small subunit ribosomal RNA", at positions 311 to 525 of the family's 1533-position model. The record is from RNAcentral.
GCCCGCCGCGCGCGGCGGGCCUACGGGAGGCAGCAGUGAGGAAUAUUGGUCAAUGGGCGGAAGCCUGAACCAGCCAAGUAGCGUGCAGGAUGACGGCCCUAUGGGUUGUAAACUGCUUUUAUACAGGAAUAAAGUUAGCCACGUGUGGUUAUUUGUAGGUACUGUAUGAAUAAGGACCGGCUAAUUCCGUGCCAGCAGCCGCGGUAAUA